GUUUGAAAUGAGUGGCUGUUGUACUAUAUAUUUUAUACACUAUUUUAACAUAGGAUAUCACUUGUAUAUAGUAUUCUGCAUUUGUAUUUCUUUAUUAUGCAGAUUUCUCAGUAGCAACGUUCACCGUUCGAUCAUUGUCACGGUAUUACCAGUUCAGGUAUCACCUAUCUGACUGAAAUUAAGUACGUACAUUCGUACUGAUUAUAAAAUAAACGUCAUCAGCCUCACCCC
Haliotis rufescens (red abalone) is the source of this 231-nucleotide long non-coding RNA. RefSeq lists it as uncharacterized. The record is from RefSeq and is a predicted model, not a curated record. NCBI's taxonomy places the organism in Eukaryota, Metazoa, Mollusca, Gastropoda, Lepetellida, Haliotidae. The transcript has 2 exons.